This is a long non-coding RNA of Eurytemora carolleeae, 642 nucleotides long. RefSeq lists it as uncharacterized. The transcript is spliced from 3 exons. Lineage: Eukaryota; Metazoa; Arthropoda; Copepoda; Calanoida; Temoridae. The record is from RefSeq and is a predicted model, not a curated record.
AUAUGAGACGAGUAGAUCCUUUUCUAGAAAUGGUUGUUGGGUGUGUCCACUCUCUUGAUAUUCUCCGUUCUCCCCUUCACCAUCCUCUUCAUCCAACCAACCAACCGCAGUCUUCUAGACGGAGAAGGUGCUAAGAAGAAAGGGGAAAAGUGGAUUGAAGAAACUGUAAAAAACUGGGGAAAUCUUCACUCAGUCAGGAUACUUUUAAGCGGAAGCAGUGUUCUGGUCGCAGGAGUUUACUGGUUCAACAAGAUUCAUCCAUUCCUCUAAACUAGCGGAAUAAUACUUCCUCUAGUCUAGCGGAAUAAUAUUCUCUAGUCUAGCGGAAUAAUACUUCUUCUAAUCUAGCUGAAUAAUGCUUUUUCUAAUCAAGCGGAAAAUUUUGUUCGGUUUAAGAUUAUGUAUACUGCAACUUGCGAGUAGGGUUUCCAUUCGCAAAACUUUUGUCCAAUUUUUUCAAAAGAAAGCGCCAAGUUUUGCUUUUGUUGCGCUACAUUUUUGUGCAAAAAAUAUCACUUUGCGCAAUCAUUCACAAACUUAUUUUCGUGCAAAACCGCGUUAUUCCGCUUUUGUGUAAUUCUGUUUUGCGCAAUUUUUCGGAACAGAUUCUCAGUAAAAGGUUCAAUAAAGGUUUAAAUUGUA